UUGUAUAAUCCUAUACUAUUUAUCCUUGAUUGCACCCUCGCAGCUUAUGGGGGCUCGCGUUGGGUUAUUUAUUUAAUUCACGCCUUCUGGCUUAUUAGGGCUAGUUAUGUAGAGAAAGUCAUGCUUUUUGUUAUUAUUAUUAUAUGGGUUGUUUACUUUUAGUAUUUGAGGCUUUAUUCCAGGUUUUUCCUCUUACCAUGAUUUAGCUUAUUUACUUUAGCAUUUAAUUAUAUUUAUAUUAUGAUUUAGCUUAGUCGAAUGAUGAUGUCUACUGAGUACCCGUUGUCAUACCCAAUUUUUAUCUAAGGUCAAAAUGAGCACGACAAUAUGGACUCUAAAAGAAUAAAUUUUGUAUAGAUUCACCACCUAAUUUUUAAGGAAAAAUAGGAAACCAACUUAUUUAUGAAGCAUGACUCUAUUCUAAUAUACGAAACCAAUUUAGAUCCUAAGUAAGAGUUCAAAUUAUUCCAAAGGAAAGGUAUUAGACACCCUUCAAAAUCCACAAAUAUGGUUUUCGAUCAAACUUAGAUUUAUUAAACGAUGAAGAAAAAAAUUAAUAUUUAUAAAUACAAAUAUAAAACAUGUAUUAAGAUGUUAUAAACAAUUUAUAUGUAAAGAAUGUGUAAGUUAUAUAUUUUAUCAUAAAAUUAUGUGUAUAAGAAGUGUAUUAAGAUAAACGAAAGUAUAUAAAAACAUGUAUGAAAAGAAAAGAUUAAAUAAAGAAAAACUUGUUUUAAAGAAAAAGAAUACAUAAUAUUCUUUAGCGAAAAAAGUAUGAGUUAUUUGAUUAAAUAUUUAAAUCAAUUUUAACAUAAAUAUUAACGGCCUAAAUUUGCCUAAACACGUGAUGGAUACUGUGUAAGUAAAACAUUCCGCCCAACAUCCCAAAUAUAAAUAUUUCACUAUAAUUAAUAUUUUGUACACUUACAGGAAUAUUAAGAAAAUAUAAAUACAAAAGUCACUUCUUUCUUCAAUGUCUUUCCGAUAUGUAUUUUCGAGAACCUGUACAAACACUUGCGAUAGAAAGAUUAGUAACAAAUAAAUAAUUACCCAAAUAAAAUAAAAUCAUGUGUGCAUAUAUAUAUAUAUAUAAAGAGAGAAUUUUUAUUAAAAGUGUGGGCUCGAAUCAAAUUUUAGGUACGUCAUGGCUAAAAAAUAGUUGCUCAGUUUAUUAGCCAUCCUAAAUUGUCUUGCCAAAAUACGAAUCAUAAAAAACUUUGCGUUGUUAUAAAAAUUUCAUCAUUGUCCAAAAUUAUUUAUUUUAUUGCAUAUUUUUACAUAAUAUCCAUCUUUUUAUUUGUAAAGGCCUAAAAAAUCGAUAAAAUUUCUUUUAUCGGACAAUUAAAUUAAUACUGAAUAUAGAAGAAACAAUCAAAUACGAGUAAUUAAAUAAUAAAAAUAAAAAGAUAAAAAUAAAAUAUGUCUUAUGUCUUUUGUCUUGGGGAGAUAUCAAAGAUUAACGGAGAAGUUUUAUCAUUAUUCAAUUAAUUUAUUAAUAUCUAGAAUAAAAUAAAACCAAAACAUGCAAUUAAAAUAGUCUAAACUUGGACCCAAAUUAAAAAAUGCAAUUUCUGAAAAAAAAAAAAACUAAAUAAAUUGUGAUGGUGAAUCAAAACAAGUAUAAAACAAAGCAACAAUGAACAAAGAUUACAAAAUAAUCACAUGGAGUCACUAAAUUCACAUGGAAUCAUCAAGUGCACAAGGUUUAAUCUUAAAUAAACAUUAACUGUGAGGAGUAAAACAUUGGAGAACAAAAUCAAUAUGUCCAACAGAAAAAUCAAGAAAAAAGAUCAGGCAGCCAUGAAAACAAACAUACAUAGAUUACCGGAGAGAAAUUCAAGCAAAAUCAAUCCAAAAUUAAUAAAACAAUGUAAAGAUAGUCCAAGAUAACAAUGGCAAUACUUGAAAUUUAUUUCCGCAAAACACACAAAUAAUGGUAAAGUGAAAAGAAGAAGAUUUCACCGGGGUUUAAGUUUUUCCGGUAGCAUGGUCAUGGUUUCCGGCCAAAUCUGAAAAUAAACAGAAAAAAAAAUAAUAGCAGUCAAAAGGGAAUGGAUCACCGGUGUUGCUUCAACGGAUAUCACCGGAGCAACACCGGAGUGGCAUUUUCGGCCAGAUCUGCCCAUUUUCCGGCGAGCAACGACGGUGGUAGCAGUGUUGCGUUGAAGCUCGAACCUUUCCGGUCACUACCUCUGGCGAGACAACGACGGGAGACGACAGAAAGAGAGGAAGCUGGGGCGGCAGAUGGUUUUUGUUGGUGGCUGAAACUCGCCCGCCGGUGAUCAACUCCGGUGAGGCACAACACAGUAGAGAAAAAGGGCCGAUGUUUGUGUGUAUGUACGGUGUAUUGUAUGUUUGUGAGAGAAACAAAAUCUGUGAGCGGGUGAUUGUAAAGUGUGUAUAAAAAGUGUUAAUGAAAAAAAAAAAUAAACCCCAUCUAUUUAUAAUAAAAAAAAGAAUAUCCUUUUAUCUAAAAAAUAAUAAACUAUCCCUUCUUGUCUCUUUAGUACAUACUUUAAAUCAUUAGAUAUUAUCCAAUAAUUUCACUCUUUUAAUCAUCAGGUAAAGAUUUUUUAUUUAACAGAUAAAAACAUCAACCCAUCAUCUCAAAUGUCAUUUUUUUAAAAAUGACGAGAUUUUAACUUAAUUAAUUUAUUACUUUAUGUAUUAAAAUAAUCAAGCCGAUUUAAGUUUACACAUUGCAUUAAAUAAUGUACAAAAAAAUAUAAAUGUCUAUAUGAUUACAGAAAAAUACAAAUAAUAAAUAUAAUAAAAUAAUAUUAAAAAAUAUAUUAUGCUAUAAAUAAUUAAAAUUAUAAUGUGCGAUAAAAAAUGAAACACUAUGCUAUGUACGAAUGCAAAUAACAGUGCAAAAAAUUUAAGAUGAUAAUAAACUGAUAAAAAAUUUAAAAUUUACAAAACUAAGGAUAAUUAUGAAUAAAUUAUGCACAAUUAAAAUAUGACAAUAAUUUGACAAAAUAUUCUAAAAAAAUAAUAAUUAUCAAUAAUUUGUUUAAAAUGUAUGAAAAGUUACAUUUUGUGCACUUUAACGAUCAGGGAGACUAAAUGCGUUAAUUUUGAGUUUGGAGAGCUAAAAUUGGGUGUCAACAGUUUGUUCCUUUUCGUUUGAAGAUAAUACAGAAGUCUUCAAACAAAAACAUUGACGUGUAGCCAAUUUUGCCCGACAAAAAUUAUUUUUGAUAAAAUUCAAACGAAUUCCAAUUUAGAGUUGUUUACAUAGUUCGAGUUGCAUGAAGAUCAAGUCGGGUAUAGCUCAAAAGUUAUUCCAACAUAUCCUAUUUUAGGUUGGACCAAAUCAAUGCUUCCUCGAAUUCUAGGCUUGCAAAAUUUAUAAAACUGAAAAACAGUAGACAAGCAUGCAAAUGAUAUGUAGUGCUUAACUAAAUUAAAGAUAAACAAAUAAAGGCAUUGCAAGAUUUCAACUAAAGACAAAUAAAAUAUUCAAUUGAAGACAGACAUGCAUUAAAAGUUUUAUUAACGUGCAGACUAACCCAAAAUGUCCUAUUUUAGGGUGGACGUACCCAAAUUAUCCACAAAUUAUAUGCUUGCAAAUGUAUCAAACUAAGAAGUACUAUUCAAUAACAUAAACGAAAAAUUAAGCUUGAUUUUUUUAAGAAAUUAAAAAUAGCAUGCAGUACUUAAUUAAUUAAGAAAAAAUGGUACAAGCAAAGAUAACAUCCAGUGCUUAAAUGUUAAAGUAAGUGUAUUGCGAUAUGUGCAGGUAAAAAUAUCCAUCUUUUUAUUUGUAAGGGCCUAAAAAAUCGAUAAAAUUUCUUUUAUCGGACAAUUAAAUUAAUACUGAAUAUAGAAGAAACAAUCAAAUACGAGUAAUUAAAUAAUAAAAAUAAAAAGAUAAAAAUAAAAUAUGUCUUAUGUCUUUUGUCUUGGGGAGAUAUCAAAGAUUAACGGAGAAGUUUUAUCAUUAUUCAAUUAAUUUAUUAAUAUCUAGAAUAAAAUAAAACCAAAACAUGCAAUUAAAAUAGUCUAAACUUGGACCCAAAUUAAAAAAUGCAAUUUCUGAAAAAAAAAAAAACUAAAUAAAUUGUGAUGGUGAAUCAAAACAAGUAUAAAACAAAGCAACAAUGAACAAAGAUUACAAAAUAAUCACAUGGAGUCACUAAAUUCACAUGGAAUCAUCAAGUGCACAAGGUUUAAUCUUAAAUAAACAUUAACUGUGAGGAGUAAAACAUUGGAGAACAAAAUCAAUAUGUCCAACAGAAAAAUCAAGAAAAAAGAUCAGGCAGCCAUGAAAACAAACAUACAUAGAUUACCGGAGAGAAAUUCAAGCAAAAUCAAUCCAAAAUUAAUAAAACAAUGUAAAGAUAGUCCAAGAUAACAAUGGCAAUACUUGAAAUUUAUUUCCGCAAAACACACAAAUAAUGGUAAAGUGAAAAGAAGAAGAUUUCACCGGGGUUUAAGUUUUUCCGGUAGCAUGGUCAUGGUUUCCGGCCAAAUCUGAAAAUAAACAGAAAAAAAAAUAAUAGCAGUCAAAAGGGAAUGGAUCACCGGUGUUGCUUCAACGGAUAUCACCGGAGCAACACCGGAGUGGCAUUUUCGGCCAGAUCUGCCCAUUUUCCGGCGAGCAACGACGGUGGUAGCAGUGUUGCGUUGAAGCUCGAACCUUUCCGGUCACUACCUCUGGCGAGACAACGACGGGAGACGACAGAAAGAGAGGAAGCUGGGGCGGCAGAUGGUUUUUGUUGGUGGCUGAAACUCGCCCGCCGGUGAUCAACUCCGGUGAGGCACAACACAGUAGAGAAAAAGGGCCGAUGUUUGUGUGUAUGUACGGUGUAUUGUAUGUUUGUGAGAGAAACAAAAUCUGUGAGCGGGUGAUUGUAAAGUGUGUAUAAAAAGUGUUAAUGAAAAAAAAAAAUAAACCCC
Molecule: long non-coding RNA, 4902 nt
Filed under: Capsicum annuum
Lineage: Eukaryota; Viridiplantae; Streptophyta; Magnoliopsida; Solanales; Solanaceae
Description: long non-coding RNA (CANN_LNC000877)
Source: RNAcentral